Molecule: long non-coding RNA, 3323 nt
Organism: Ictalurus punctatus (channel catfish)
Lineage: Eukaryota; Metazoa; Chordata; Actinopteri; Siluriformes; Ictaluridae
Source: Ensembl
UCGGGGGGAAAUGAGCGCAGAAGCAGGACAGGUGCUUUCAGGUGAUUUAAUUACGUACAGUUACUGCACAAUUAGACUCUGUUAUGAAUCGGGGUCACCGUGACCAUGCUCAGUCAGAAUAAAUCCAUCUCUCAGCGCUCUCGCAUGGAGACGGAGAGGGAAAUCACAUUUACACCAACGUCGGCGCGUACGCUCCUCUCCGCGGUGUAACGGUCCGUCAUCGGGUCUCGGCAGACUUUCUGAGAAGGUUCAGCAUCAUGGAGACUCGUUACGGCCCCGCCUCGCCUCUCAUCGUACCGCCUUUCAUCUCAUCGGCGUGAUGACGGAUAAAAACCCACCGCCGGCGUGACCCGUAUCCGCGUUCUGUACUCUGACGAGGCGUCCAUCGGCCGCGCACGCUAAACACGCAGCGCGACAAAACACCGGACGGGUCGAGCGUUACUUUUCUUUUCCGGUGGAAGAACGCAUCAUAAACGUAUGAUCUCAGAAUAAUCUGAAGGAUGAAAGUCAUGGGAGACCGAUUAAUGAACGUCCUGUGACCUGGACGCAACAAAAAAAAAAAGGAAGUUAAAUUGGGGAUUUUCUGAGGCUUAAUGAUAAAACGCGCCAGAUAAAGAACGCAAUCUGCUCCGUCAACGAGACUUCGAGUCAAAUGCUAUAGACGCACCGAUACGAUAUUACGCUCCGAUACACACACACACACACACACACACACACACACACGUAUUAACGUCAUCCGUUCUAUCAUGUGACACAAGCGUAGUGACGUUGCGCUAUUAAAGCCAGACGACAGGAAACAACCGCGAUCUGGACAAGAAACCAAUCAAUCCUCUGGAUCAAAUCGCUCCUCUUUAAUAAUGACGCCAUGUCCACAUUAACCCGGAUCCAUCUCAGAACACCUUCUCCCGCUACGUCUUUUGAAAACGCGGCUUUCGCGGACCGGGAAAACAGACCCAUUCCAUUCAUAAUGAUGUAUCUGUGGUCAUGUGACUCGACUCAACUCAAACAAGAUGGCGGACGACGUGGUGCUGCAGUUGUCGUGCCUGAUAUCCAGUCUGAUAGCUUUGUUGAAGAUUAACGUCACUUUCGACAACCUUCAGCUCGCGUUUUUACCCCAAAACCACUUUAAUCGCUGUGCUACGGCACUCGAGUCUGUUCAGAUCGCGUCAGAGGCGAAUCUGCUGUGGAAAACACUCGCACCAGAAUCGAAUCAUGACUCUCACAGACUUUUGUUUUUACUUUUAGUACAACGCAGAAAUAAAUACUUAGAUCAUGAUUUUUAAAUUUUUUUUUUUUUUUUUAACGAGCCACAACCUCAGCCUGAGCCGUUUGUUUUUGUUAACAUGGACCUCGUCAGCCAUUUUAGACACUCCCCAAACACCCACACACUCCGCCCACACCUCAGUCUGAAAUCAGCCAACGCCCAGCGCAGCCUGAUAACCAACCAUUACAAAGAAAAACGGGACGGCGAAGGCUUGGCGGUCGUAAGUGAUGUCACGACAGUCCGGCUAACAAUAACGCUAGCUGAAGUGCCGUAAUUCUGUGGGCGGAGCCUUGUGUACACGCAUACUGCACCUUUAAACGUGUAAACAUCUCACCGACUGCACCUGCUACAGAAGACGUUUACAUAAUCUGAUAUAAAGAAACGAACGCAUCCCGCAUACGGUACCGUACCAAAAGUACCGAACUCGAGCUACAGGACAGUCUGCCGCAUCGAACCUGAUCCUUCAUCCAGACGGGCGCAGACGUGGAACCUUCUCCUCUUACACACGUCUCUACAGACCCUUCACACAGACUAGCUGAAUAAUACAAGGACCUCGGCACGUCUCUCUCCCGCACACUCGCACACUUCUAGACGAGACCUCCGACACGACGGCGGCACCAGAGAAGGCUCCGGAAAAUACCGCACCCUCUACAGACCGAGCGCCGACCAGCCAACCACGGGGCCGAGACGAUAACGCGGCAGCAGACUCGGCUCCCGUUCCACAAAUCCCUGAAUUUCUUCUCGCGCCGUAAACACCGUCGGUCGCUCGGCUCCUGCAAACACGCGCUCCACGUCCACGGUGCGAACAGCGGCAGGAAUUUCAGCAGCUGCGCUGCAACCCCGAAUCAACCGACAGGGACGCCGAGGCCGAGGCUUUUAAAGACGUGAAAAAGGAACGAACAAUUUUCCCCUCAAGGUUCCACAUACGGUUCGUCCGGGAUUCCCCGAGCGCAGAAAUCAACUCAAAAUCAAGGAAACUCAACAGAUUUGGCCCAAGACGUGUCACGUGACAUCCUAACGUGCAUUCAGCCAAAUCCCUCUCCCAUUCACGCGCGUCUAAAAGCUCUCGUUUACCAGCAAACAUCACUGCGAAAGAAUUUCUUGCGAUUUCACCGGAUCGCGUUAAAAAAAAACAAAAAAAACUGCAAGCUGCAUCGUGGAUUUUGAAAAUAAAUAAAUAAAUAAAUAAAUAAAUAAAUAAAUAAAUAAAUAGAGCGUUUUUUUGGCCACGACGAUUACAAAAACAAACCCCGGAGAGACCCUGUACGGACCGCUCCGCAUCACCGUAUCCGAGGUUACGCGCGUGCGUGGGGCGAGGUUUGGUCGAGAAACGAGUCCAGUCAGCUCACUCAGCUUCUCAAAUCAUUCCGUCUGUACUGCACAGAUUUAAAUUCUUUCCGUCACGUGUUCACGUGAAAUGAACGUUCGCUAUUCCGGUCGGAUUAUCAGACACCGGGAAUAAAAAUCUGGAUAAAUCUGUAACUGGAUGCAUGUUUAUUUCCUCCAUCAGGCCAAGAUAAAUCACAUCACAUCACAUCACAUGACAUCACGCAGGACAAAAAAAAAAGCUUCCAUCGUUUUCACAUUAUGGAGAGAAAAAACGAAUGGAUAUCUGACUCGAGUGCGAUCGAUGGCGCUAUUUAAACCUCACGUUUCCACUCGCCGUCUUACUCUUCCCUUCUUCCCAGAAGCAAUUAAGCUGAGUACGGUUUGACUGAACGCGUCUCGGAGCUGCCCACGCUGCAGCUCGCCAUAAAGCGCCGGAGUGAUGUGGAAACGCUGAACCGUGCCAAAGUGUCCGUCUUUCAAACAUGAACUCGCUCACACCGCGCCGUGCCUUACUGGACUUUCUAAAAACACUACCACCAGUAACACUUCACGCUCACGAUCGUUAACUCCUCCAUUCGAACACAAACCGAGCAGUAGAAACCUGCGCCGGUCCGAUCGUAUAACGAGGCAUUACGGCGUCAUAUACGGAGCACGAGUUCCAAUCGUUUAUUUAUUUCAGUUACACACGGAGUUAUGGAUGUUCGGCUGCACAGCUGAUUCUUAUUAACCA